GCGAACUCAACUUAGACAAUGAAUCUAACACACUUAUAGAUGUGCGAGACAUCUGUAUAAUAAGAAUGGACAAGUUUUGCAUGGAAAAAAAACAACAAAGAAAUAAACAAAGGAUAUAAAUGAGCCCUUUCAUGGACCAAAAUAUAUUUUAUCAGUUAAAAUAUUAACUUGAGUUCUUGUCAUAACAAAUAAUUUUCAAAAUAAGAAAAUAAUAACUAAAAUUUACAAGAGAUGUUUCAAGGAGGGAUAAUAAUAAGAGACUUUAAAGGAGGAAAAUGAAUCAGAGAAAAUGGCUAGAUAAUACUAUAAAUAAGGCGAGCGUCACAUGUCUGAAAUAACCAAAAGAAACAACUUCCUCAAAAGAAGGAAUUAAUUCUCUAAGAAAUAUUUUAAAUCUUGUUGCGAGAAGGAUCACCGCAAGAUCCUCAACUUCAAAAAACUAUUGCCAAAAAGCAGCAUCAACAAGGACCCAGAAGGAGACGGCCGCAUGUUUUCUUUUCUUUUUUAAAUUCCAAUUCAUUCUCCUCCGCAUACAGCCCCACUAACCAUUGAGUUUACAAGAAAUACCUCCAGACUGAGGUGUAUUCUUUUUGUAUUCAACGCGAUUUCUAUAUUUGGAUGAAGGAAAAAAAACAAAAAAAAAGGAAAAAAGAAAAGCAAAACAAAACAAAAGACAUUAACAAGCUCUUCCAUUUGUCAAAAUUUUCCUUUUGUUAAAUGUCUCCAAAGAAAGAGAUAUCUCCAAAACAAAAAAUUAAGUGGAAUUCAUAAGAAAUGACUCCAAGAUGAGAUAUAUAGUGAGGUUCAAGUAAAAUUUGCAAGAGCUGUAUCCACAAGAGUUAUACACAAAGCAGAAGGUAACAUGGUGUUUCGGUGUAAAGACGAGCAUUACCUCUUCCAAUUCAAUUCUGUUAAUAUUACUUGGAUUACACAUGGCCUUUGCCUCCUCCACUGUUAUUUUUUUGCUUCGUAACUUCUCUAAAACAAUCCUUGCGGCCUGAUACACAAUUGCAAGCACGCAUGUAAUCAGUCAUUAUUUAAACCAAACUGCUAUGAAUUUUUCCCAUUCCACCUCAUCCAAGAAGUUAAGACUGACGACUGCUGUGGGACCAACUUAUGCACUAAUUCCCAGAGCCAAGACAAAACUCUAACUUCAACCCAAAUCCACUGCUUUUCUUUAGCUUUAGCAUCCUCCAACAAAGUGUGGAACUAAUCUCUAACCCAACAGACCAAACAGAUAUAAGGGAAAGCCUAACAUAUAUGACAGACUAAGGUAAAACAGAAAAAGCGCCAUGCUUUGGUGCUAGUGUACCAUACAUGAUCACUCUACCAUUCCACAUAUGACUAUUACAAAUCUAACUGAAAAUUUUAAAGUGCAAGAAUAUUACCUUCAAAAUCGAAUCCUUAUGACCCUGCUUCAUAAAACUAAAACCUCUUCUCUCCCUAUAAAUACUAGGAAGUGCGAGCUUGAGCUUUACGGAUUGAUCCGUCACCUUUUGCGCGGACUCGGCAAUAACUCCUAAAACAACCCUGUGCCACAAGGAAAACAAAAACAGAACACUUGAAGUCUAAAUUUAAAAUCAAAUCAAGAGUUGUAGCGAGUUGGCAACUUCCUUACAGAAUCCAACACAAAAGAUUAACGCACCUCACGAACAAGAAAGAGAAAUGGACUGUACCUCUUUGCAGCAUCUUCAGACUUCUUCAACAUAUCUGCAGAUAUGCUUAACCUUGGUGGUGAAGCCAAGGGAAGUUCACGAAUUUCCUCAGGCCUUUUUUCCUUGGCAAGCAGUUCAACACCAGAAUGUUUCUUUUUUGCACUUUUAUCUACCAGUAUAGGCUUUAAAGAAGAAGACGCUUUGGCCUCUAAGCUGGGUGACACAUUAGCUUCAGCGGCGACUUUCGAUUUGAGUUGUUUGAACACCUCAGGAUCCCCAGGGCGCUCAAGGACUCUUGGGAACUUAACGUGGUUCCGUUUAGGCGUGCCUAAAUCUUUCAUGAUUUUAUGUUUCCUGUAAAUAGAGCGAAGUGUAUAGGAUUUAGAAACCACCUCAUUAGGUCCUGGUGAAUAGUGACAAAUGG
Molecule: long non-coding RNA, 2079 nt
Filed under: Physcomitrium patens
Lineage: Eukaryota; Viridiplantae; Streptophyta; Bryopsida; Funariales; Funariaceae
Description: long non-coding RNA (PPAT_LNC010268)
Source: RNAcentral